GUCUCUGUAGCUCAGUUGGUUAGAGCGCAGCACCGGAAUUACAGGGCCGUAGGUUCAAUUCGUACCAGAGGACC
RNAcentral lists this transfer RNA (74 nucleotides) under Paramuricea clavata. RNAcentral describes it as "tRNA-Ser". The record is from RNAcentral. Lineage: Eukaryota; Metazoa; Cnidaria; Anthozoa; Malacalcyonacea; Plexauridae.